UACAGGGGGUGCAAACGUUGCUCGGAAUUAUUGGGCGUAAAGCGCGCGUAGGCGGCUACUUAAGUCGGAUGUGAAAGCCCCUGGCUCAACUGAGGAAGUGCACCCGAAACUGAGUGGCUAGAGUACGAAAGAGGGUCGCGGAAUUCCCGGUGUAGAGGUGAAAUUCGUAGAUAUCGGGAGGAACACCGGUGGCGAAGGCGGCGACCUGGGUCGAUACUGACGCUGAUGCGCGAAAGCGUGGGGAGCAAACAGG
Molecule: ribosomal RNA, 253 nt
Filed under: uncultured bacterium
Lineage: Bacteria
Description: partial 16S ribosomal RNA
Rfam family: Bacterial small subunit ribosomal RNA
Source: RNAcentral